This 298-nucleotide ribosomal RNA is filed under the name uncultured bacterium. Its description in RNAcentral is "partial 16S ribosomal RNA". It matches the Rfam family "Bacterial small subunit ribosomal RNA", at positions 524 to 818 of the family's 1533-position model. The record is from RNAcentral.
GACAGAGGGUGCAAACGUUGCUCGGAAUCACUGGGCGUAAAGGGCGUGUAGGCGGACUUGCAAGUCAGGCGUGAAAUCCCUGGGCUCAACCCAGGAAUUGCACUUGAAACUGCAAGCCUUGAGUGUCGGAGAGGAAAGUGGAAUUCCUGGUGUAGAGGUGAAAUUCGUAGAUAUCAGGAGGAACACCGGUGGCGAAGGCGGCUUCUGGACGACAACUGACGCUGAGACGCGAAAGCGUGGGGAGGCAAACAGGAUUGAAGAAACCCCAGUAGGUCCAAGAACCGAAGUACCUCUGCAC